This 500-nucleotide long non-coding RNA is filed under the name Manihot esculenta (cassava). RNAcentral's name for it is "long non-coding RNA (MESC_LNC004600)". The record is from RNAcentral. Lineage: Eukaryota; Viridiplantae; Streptophyta; Magnoliopsida; Malpighiales; Euphorbiaceae.
UUUCUCUUCUUUCCUCGGCGGCUCAUCCGUCCUCCCGUUCCUCCAACAAUCAUGUGGAUGGUCCCACUGGACCCAUCAUUCACUGGUCCAGGUCCUAUUCUUCUAGGCGUCUGAGUUGUCGGACCAGACUGAGGCCUCUGUCCCUCUGGUUUUUUCACAAAAUUUUUGAGGUGUCCCCUUUUUAUUAGCCUCUCAAUCUCCGCGAUUAACUGAAAACAGUUAUUCGUAUCGUGCCCAUGGCUCCGGUGGUACUGACAAUACUUGUCAGGAUUUCUUUGAUCUGCUUCCGACUUCAUGGGUUUGGGCCACUGGAGGAACUCCUUAUCUUGGACUGCCAUGAGCACUUCGGCUCUGGAAGCGUUGAGGGGGGUUGGCUUCUCGGGAACCCAAGGAGGGAGCACUCUUGGUUCAAGAGCCCGAGGAGGAGGUGGAGGCCUUUGAUCCCUUUUCUCCCAAGCCUGUUUGUACGGCUCAGGCCUCUUUCCAUGUUUCUUCUCGUG